Molecule: ribosomal RNA, 491 nt
Filed under: uncultured bacterium
Lineage: Bacteria
Description: partial 16S ribosomal RNA
Rfam family: Bacterial small subunit ribosomal RNA
Source: RNAcentral
AGUGAACGCUGGCGGUAGGCCUAACACAUGCAAGUCGAACGGCAGCACAGUAAGAGCUUGCUCUUACGGGUGGCGAGUGGCGGACGGGUGAGGAAUACAUCGGAAUCUACUUUUUCGUGGGGGAUAACGUAGGGAAACUUACGCUAAUACCGCAUACGACCUACGGGUGAAAGCAGGGGAUCUUCGGACCUUGCGCGAUUGAAUGAGCCGAUGUCGGAUUAGCUAGUUGGCGGGGUAAAGGCCCACCAAGGCGACGAUCCGUAGCUGGUCUGAGAGGAUGAUCAGCCACACUGGAACUGAGACACGGUCCAGACUCCUACGGGAGGCAGCAGUGGGGAAUAUUGGACAAUGGGCGCAAGCCUGAUCCAGCCAUACCGCGGGGGUGAAGAAGGCCUUCGGGUUGUAAAGCCCUUUUGUUGGGAAAGAAAAGCAGCAGGUUAAGACCCCGCUGUUCGGACGGUACCCAAAGAAGAAGCACCGGCGAACUGCGU